UUCUGUGCCUACACCGCCCUGCAUGUGUCCGACCUCAGAAGCUAAAUAGGCUUGGGCCUGGUUAGUACCUGGAUGGGAGAAACUCAAGACUGCCAAAGAAU
RNAcentral lists this ribosomal RNA (101 nucleotides) under Chinchilla lanigera (long-tailed chinchilla). Lineage: Eukaryota; Metazoa; Chordata; Mammalia; Rodentia; Chinchillidae. The record is from RNAcentral.